AGAAUCAACGCUGGCGGCGUGCCUAACACAUGCAAGUCGAACGAGAAAGUGGAGCAAUCCAUGAGUAAAGUGGCGCACGGGUGAGUAACACGUGACUAACCUACCCUUGAGUGGGGGAUAACCUAGAGAAAUCUGGGCUAAUACCGCAUAACACUUACGAGUCAAAGCAGCAAUGCGCUUGGAGAGGAGUUCGCGGCAGAUUAGUUAGUUGGCGGGGUAAUGGCCCACCAAGACGAUGAUCUGUA
RNAcentral lists this ribosomal RNA (245 nucleotides) under uncultured bacterium. RNAcentral describes it as "partial small subunit ribosomal RNA". It matches the Rfam family "Bacterial small subunit ribosomal RNA", at positions 26 to 285 of the family's 1533-position model. The record is from RNAcentral.